RNAcentral lists this ribosomal RNA (825 nucleotides) under uncultured archaeon. RNAcentral's name for it is "bacterial SSU rRNA". It matches the Rfam family "Archaeal small subunit ribosomal RNA", at positions 68 to 880 of the family's 1478-position model. The record is from RNAcentral.
AUGUUGAGACGCGGCAGACGGCUCAGUAACACGUGGCUAACCUACCCUCAGGACAGGGACAAACCCGGGAAACUGGGGCUAAUACCAGAUAGGUGAGGAUGCCUGGAAUGGUUUUUCGCUCAAAGGACCUUGGAAACAUGCUUUCAAGUCGCCUGAGGAUGGGGCCGCGUCCGAUCAGGUUGUUGGUGAGGUAACGGCUCACCAAGCCUAUAACCGGUACGGGCCGUGAGAGCGGUAGCCCGGAGAUGGGUACUGAGACAAGGACCCAGGCCCUACGGGGCGCAGCAGUCGCGAAAACUCCGCAAUGCACGAAAGUGUGACGGGGCUACCCCGAGUGCUCUCCGCUGAGGAAAGCUUUUCUCUGGUGUAACAAGCCAGGGGAAUAAGGAGAGGGCAAGACUGGUGUCAGCCGCCGCGGUAAUACCAGCUCUCCGAGUGGUAGGGAUGAUUAUUGGGCUUAAAGCGUCCGUAGCCGGCUUAGCAAGUUUCCUGUUAAAUUCAGCGACCUAAUCGUUGAGCCGCGGGAAAUACUACUAGGCUAGGAGGCGGGAGAGGUCGACGGUACUUCUGGGGUAGGGGUGAAAUCCUAUAAUCCCGGGAGGACCACCAGUGGCGAAGGCUGUCGACUAGAACGCGCUCGACGGUGAGGGACGAAAGCUGGGGGAGCGAACCGGAUUAGAUACCCGGGUAGUCCCAGCUGUAAACGAUGCGGGCCAGGUGUUGGGGUGGCUACGUGCCACUUCAGUGCCGCAGGGAAGCCAUUUAACCCGCCGCCUGGGGAGUAACGGCCGCAGGCUGAAACUCAAAUGAAUUGAACGAAACACU